AGAGUUUGAUCCUGGCUUAGGAUGAACGCUGGCGGCGUGCUUAAUACAUGCAAGUCGAACGAAGCACUUUGACAGAUCCCCUCGGGGUGAAGAUGAUUGUGACUUAGUGGCGGACGGGUGAGUAACGCGUGGGGAACCUGCCUCGUGCUGGGGGAUAACAGUUAGAAAUGACUGCUAAUACCGCAUAAGCGCACAGUAAGGCAUCUUACAGUGUGAAAAGAUUUAUCGGCAUGAGAUGGACCCGCGUCUGAUUAGGUAGUUGGCGGGGUAACGGCCCACCAAGCCCGCGAUCAGUAGCCGACUUGAGAGAGUGAUCGGCCACAUUGGGACUGAGACACGGCCCAGACUCCUACGGGAGGCAGCAGUAGGGAAUAUUGCACAAUGGGGGAAACCCUGAAUGCAGCGACGCCGCGUGAGUGAUGAAGUAUUUCGGUACGUAAAACUCUAUCAGCAGGGAAGGUAAUGACGGUACCUGACUAAGAAGCCCCGGCUAACUACGUGCCAGCCGCAGC
This 512-nucleotide ribosomal RNA is filed under the name uncultured bacterium. RNAcentral's name for it is "bacterial SSU rRNA". It matches the Rfam family "Bacterial small subunit ribosomal RNA", at positions 8 to 518 of the family's 1533-position model. The record is from RNAcentral.